This 1073-nucleotide ribosomal RNA is filed under the name uncultured organism. Its description in RNAcentral is "bacterial SSU rRNA". It matches the Rfam family "Bacterial small subunit ribosomal RNA", at positions 118 to 1183 of the family's 1533-position model. The record is from RNAcentral.
UAGGUAACCUGCCUGUAAGUUUGGGAUAACAUGCCUAACGGCGUGCUAAUACCGAAUGAAGCACUGGGAUUAAUUUUCAGUGUUAAAGAUAUCCUUUGGUUAUCGCUUACAGAUGGGCCUGCGGCUCAUUAGCUAGUUGGUAGGGUAACGGCUUACCAAGGCAACGAUGGGUAGCCGGCCUGAGAGGGUGGUCGGCCACACUGGGACUGAGAUACGGCCCAGACUCCUACGGGAGGCAGCAGUAAGGAAUAUUGCGCAAUGGUCGCAAGACUGACGCAGCAACGCCGCGUGGAUGAUGAAGCUCUAUGGAGUGUAAAGUCCUGUUAGAAGGGAAGAACAGUACGGAGUCAAAGCUUCGUGCAUGACGGUACCUUCAGAGAAAGCCCCGGCUAACUCCGUGCCAGCAGCCGCGGUAAUACGGGGGGGGCAAGCGUUGUCCGGAAUUACUGGGCGUAAAGGGCGCGUAGGUGGAAUUGUAAGUUAGAGGUGAAAGCCAGCAGCUUAACUGCUGGUCUGCCUUUAAUACUGCAGUUCUUGAGUGCGAAAGAGGGAAGCGGAAUUCUUGGUGUAGCGGUGAAAUGCGUAGAUAUCAAGAAGAACACCGGUAGCGUAGGCGGCUUCCUGGUUCGUAACUGACACUGAGGCGCGAAAGUGUGGGGAGCAAACAGGAUUAGAUACCCUGGUAGUCCACACCGUAACACGAUGGAUACUAGGUGUUGGGUUUCACGACUCAGUGCCGAUGUUAACGCAUUAACUAUCCCGCCUGGGGAGUACGAUCGCAAGGUUGAAACUCAAAGGAAUUGACGGGGGACCGCACAAGCGGUGGAGCAUGUGGUUUAAUUGGAUGCAACGCGAAGAACCUUACCGGGGUUUGAAAUGCAGCUGCUCUCCGUUGAAAGACGGAUUUCCUUCGGGACAACUGUACAGGUGCUGCAUGGCUGUCGUCAGCUCGUGCCGUGAGGUGUUGGGUUAAGUCCCGCAACGAGCGCAACCCUUGUCCUUAGUUGCUAUCAGGUCAAGCUGAGAGCUUUAAGGAGACUGCCUCGCAUAACGAGGAGGAAGGUGGGGAUGAC